CAAAGCAUCACAAAGAUUACUGCUUUAUUCACUUCCUAAAUUGCACGUUAGCCGCGGUUCACUUUUCUAUCGACCUCAUCUUAGCAUGUUCUUUAUUAAAAGAAAAAUUAGCCAUGACUCACUGACAACACAAUCCACAAUCCUGUCCCAAAUCCAGGAUAGAUUACAUCGAACAUCUGUCCCAGAGAUAUCACAGAUCAUAUCGCCUUAUGCCCUUAUAAGGCCUUGUUUAGUUCACCCUGAAAUUCAAAAAGUUUUCAAGAUUUCCUGUCACAUCGAAUCUUGUGGCACAUGCAUGAAGCAUUAAAUAUAGACGAAAAUAAAAACUAAUCACACAGUUUGACUGUAAAUCACGAGACGAAUUUUUUGACCUUAGUUAGUCUAUAAAUGGACAAUAUUUACCACAAACAAACGAAAGUGCUACAGUUCCGAAAACUUUCAGUUUUCGGAACUAAACAAGGCCUAAGCCGAAAUGAAGCAUCACAACACCUAUCCUAGAUAAGACACCCAGGUUUUCAAAAUAGAUAAGACACCCUGGUUGCAUUGCAUCUAUACAGCACUCGACGGUGCAGUGCAGUUCAGCUAUGCGAGUCACUCGACGCCCUCGGCGGAUUUCUGCGCCAGCAGGACGCCCAGGGUGAUGGCGGAGGCGUAGAGCGCGUUGGGCAUCUUGCGCACCACCUUGCCCACGCCGGGGACGCCCUCCGUCGCCCGCUUGGUCGCCAUCGCCAGCGCCGGCGCCGCCACCAGCGUGAUCAGCAGCUUCACGCUGAUCGUGCACAGCGAGUCCGCGGUCAGCUUCCGGAUGAACUCCGCGAACUCCUCGCGGUCCAGGAGCCCGUCCAGGUUCA
This 851-nucleotide long non-coding RNA is filed under the name Sorghum bicolor (sorghum). RNAcentral's name for it is "long non-coding RNA (SBIC_LNC011403)". The record is from RNAcentral. Lineage: Eukaryota; Viridiplantae; Streptophyta; Magnoliopsida; Poales; Poaceae.